This 958-nucleotide ribosomal RNA is filed under the name human oral metagenome. RNAcentral describes it as "bacterial SSU rRNA". It matches the Rfam family "Bacterial small subunit ribosomal RNA", at positions 8 to 949 of the family's 1533-position model. The record is from RNAcentral.
AGAGUUUGAUCCUGGCUCAGGACGAACGCUGGCGGCGUGCCUAAUACAUGCAAGUUGAGCGAUGAAGAUUGGUGCUUGCACCAAUUUGAAGAGCAGCGAACGGGUGAGUAACGCGUGGGGAAUCUGCCUUUGAGCGGGGGACAACAUUUGGAAACGAAUGCUAAUACCGCAUAACAACUUUAAACAUAAGUUUUAAGUUUGAAAGAUGCAAUUGCAUCACUCAAAGAUGAUCCCGCGUUGUAUUAGCUAGUUGGUGAGGUAAAGGCUCACCAAGGCGAUGAUACAUAGCCGACCUGAGAGGGUGAUCGGCCACAUUGGGACUGAGACACGGCCCAAACUCCUACGGGAGGCAGCAGUAGGGAAUCUUCGGCAAUGGACGAAAGUCUGACCGAGCAACGCCGCGUGAGUGAAGAAGGUUUUCGGAUCGUAAAACUCUGUUGGUAGAGAAGAACGUUGGUGAGAGUGGAAAGCUCAUCAAGUGACGGUAACUACCCAGAAAGGGACGGCUAACUACGUGCCAGCAGCCGCGGUAAUACGUAGGUCCCGAGCGUUGUCCGGAUUUAUUGGGCGUAAAGCGAGCGCAGGUGGUUUAUUAAGUCUGGUGUAAAAGGCAGUGGCUCAACCAUUGUAUGCAUUGGAAACUGGUAGACUUGAGUGCAGGAGAGGAGAGUGGAAUUCCAUGUGUAGCGGUGAAAUGCGUAGAUAUAUGGAGGAACACCGGUGGCGAAAGCGGCUCUCUGGCCUGUAACUGACACUGAGGCUCGAAAGCGUGGGGAGCAAACAGGAUUAGAUACCCUGGUAGUCCACGCCGUAAACGAUGAGUGCUAGAUGUAGGGAGCUAUAAGUUCUCUGUAUCGCAGCUAACGCAAUAAGCACUCCGCCUGGGGAGUACGACCGCAAGGUUGAAACUCAAAGGAAUUGACGGGGGCCCGCACAAGCGGUGGAGCAUGUGGUUUAA